This is a long non-coding RNA of Prionailurus viverrinus (fishing cat), 703 nucleotides long. RefSeq lists it as uncharacterized. The record is from RefSeq and is a predicted model, not a curated record. The transcript is spliced from 3 exons. Lineage: Eukaryota; Metazoa; Chordata; Mammalia; Carnivora; Felidae.
AGCAGACAAACUGGAAGGAAACCUUGCGCUUGAUGAAAUCACCCAGCCAGCCCCUAACCAAACACAACCGGAGGCCCAUGUUACCAUAGAUCUUGCAAGAUUAUGAACAACUGCCUCCAGCGAUCCCCUCAGCCGGUGAAAUUCACAUGGCGUAAAUUUAACCAUCGGUGAUCUUUAGCACAAUCGUAGCGUUGUAUCACCACUACCUAGCUCAUCACCUAGGCCUGAAAUAUUUUCAUCACCCUAAAAGGAACCUUGCGCCUAUUUGUGUCAUUCUCCAUGCCUCUCUCCUUCGGGCCGCUGGCGAUCAUUAAUUAAUCAGCUUUCCUUUCCUGUGAAUUCACCCAUUCUGGGCACUCCAUACCGACGACGUCCUACAGGAGGCGUGUGACUUCUUUCACUCAGCGUGGUGUUUUCCAGGGUCAUCCACACUUGAUCCACAGAAGCUGGAAAGCUCCUCUGCAGCUCGUUGCCAACUAUGCUGGUGGAUUUCCAGGAAUAUGUUCGUUUUCCUGAUAGAAGGGACAGAUGCGACUGGCUCCAGCCCCUCCCCUACCUCUUCCUGCCUUGAACACUGACACGAUGCCUGGAGCUACAGCAGCCAUGUUGCUGCACCGUGAGCUGAAGGCCAAGGGGAUCACAGAGCACCUGAACCUGGUACCAUUCAACCAGCAACAGCAGCUACCUACUUCCAGAUUCCUUG